GCUCAAUAGACGUAUCAAGUUAUUAACGACUUUGGGCUUAUGCAAAAGCCAGUGUAAUAAUAACAUUAUACAAAAUACAGCUUAACAAUGACAGUAUAAGCCCAUUCAUAUUUGAGCUAUAGGCACUUGCCGUCUACUGAGGAUUUUUUGUUUUAUAUAACUAUAAACAAUAUAUUCACACAACAAAAAGAUAAGUCUUUUUCAAUCCCUAUCGAGGCUAAUAUAAAAGUCAAUUAAAGUAUAUUUCUUUUGGUCACAUUGAAUAAGCUCCAGCCUUGCCACACUGUUGACAUCUGUCGGUAAUGUGGGCAUCAUGUGAUCUAUGAGCUCCUUAUCCAUCCUAGGCAUGAGAUCCCAGCUGGGCUUGAGUACUAGCUAAAUAAUUGCCCUACCAGAUAGGAAUAAUCGCGUACCAUUCCGCUCCAUUAAUGCCAACCCUAUUCUUAUAAUACGAUAGGCGUUGCCAACUCUGGAGAGGAUAUGUGCGGAUCAUAAUAUGAGUAGAUAGCAACGACAGCAAUCAUUCAGAUGUAUUAAUCAGUAUCGUGUCGUUGUUUCAUUUUCCUCCCAUCGUAUGACCAUGCCUGGAAAAAUUAAAAACGAAAGCAAGAAAAAUGAAAUAUAAAAGGAGAAAAAAGAAGAUAGAUAGGAACGAGGAUGUAGAAGAUUAGAGGAAAGUUUAGAAGAG
Non-coding RNA from Pelobates cultripes (western spadefoot toad), 688 nucleotides. The record is from the annotation of a GenBank genome assembly. NCBI's taxonomy places the organism in Eukaryota, Metazoa, Chordata, Amphibia, Anura, Pelobatidae.